This 76-nucleotide transfer RNA is filed under the name Persephonella sp. RNAcentral's name for it is "tRNA-Thr". It matches the Rfam family "tRNA". From Rfam's summary of the family: Transfer RNA (tRNA) molecules are approximately 80 nucleotides in length. Their secondary structure includes four short double-helical elements and three loops (D, anti-codon, and T loops). Lineage: Bacteria; Pseudomonadati; Aquificota; Aquificia; Aquificales; Hydrogenothermaceae. RNAcentral also lists the same sequence under 1 other name. The record is from RNAcentral.
GCCCACGUAGCUCAGUCGGCAGAGCACACCCUUGGUAAGGGUGAGGUCGGCGGUUCAAGUCCGCUCGUGGGCUCCA